This 633-nucleotide ribosomal RNA is filed under the name Ovis aries (sheep). Its description in RNAcentral is "partial 12S ribosomal RNA". It matches the Rfam family "Bacterial small subunit ribosomal RNA", at positions 667 to 1527 of the family's 1533-position model. Lineage: Eukaryota; Metazoa; Chordata; Mammalia; Artiodactyla; Bovidae. The record is from RNAcentral.
AUUUUAAUUAAACUGUAAAAAGCCAUAAUUAUAACAAAAAUAAAUGACGAAAGUAACCCUACAAUAGCUGAUACACCAUAGCUAAGACCCAAACUGGGAUUAGAUACCCCACUAUGCUUAGCCCUAAACACAAAUAAUUAUAAAAACAAAAUUAUUCGCCAGAGUACUACCGGCAACAGCCCGAAACUCAAAGGACUUGGCGGUGCUUUAUACCCUUCUAGAGGAGCCUGUUCUAUAAUCGAUAAACCCCGAUAAACCUCACCAAUCCUUGCUAAUACAGUCUAUAUACCGCCAUCUUCAGCAAACCCUAAAAAAGGGACAAAAGUAAGCUCAAUAAUGACACAUAAAGACGUUAGGUCAAGGUGUAACCUAUGGAGUGGGAAGAAAUGGGCUACAUUUUCUACCCAAGAAAAUUUAAUACGAAAGCCAUUAUGAAAUUAAUAGCCAAAGGAGGAUUUAGCAGUAAACUAAGAAUAGAGUGCUUAGUUGAAUCAGGCCAUGAAGCACGCACACACCGCCCGUCACCCUCCUCAAGUAAAUAUGAUAUACUUAAACCUAUUUACAUAUAUCAACCACACGAGAGGAGACAAGUCGUAACAAGGUAAGCAUACUGGAAAGUGUGCUUGGAUAAAC